AUAUUCAAAAUGGAAAUAAAAUAAUAUACAGAAGUUUUCCGAAAUAACGAAUAUUUGUUUUAAUGAAAACCGCUUAUAACGAACAAGCAAAUUUGUUACAUUGAGUACCGUAAAUAACGAACAUCGGGGAUUUGUAAAGCGCCAAAUACACGACACGAACAUUUCCGCGAACAUUCCCGUUAUGUCAUGUUUCUGCGAACUUUUCUGUCGUGUAUGGUGGUGUUUGCCAGUUCACGCAAAUGUUCGCCAAAAAUCAAAAUAUUUUAAUUUUUGGCGAACUGUUCGUGCGUGUAUGGCGAAAUAGCUCAUAAUCGUAGUAAUUUCUGAACGGAACAGACGUGCUCGGAAAAGUAAAAUGGACAAUAAAAAAUUUCUGAGUGAAUUUAUUGAAAUGUAUAAAUCUUUGCCAUCAUUGUGGCAAGUAAAAAGCAAAGAUUCUCUCUUUUUUCUACGCUUAAUUGCCACAGCGAGCAAUAUUGCUGCAGCACAAUUGUUGUCCGUAUUCAUCGCUGUCUGAAAGAGAACUAAUGUUCGGCCAAAAGUUCGUAUGGUGUGUGGCCAAAGCUGCGAACAAAAUUGCGGAAUGUUCGCGGAAAUGUUCGUGUCGUGUAUUUGGCGCUUAAUGUGCUGAACACAUAGAAGACGACAAGCGACGAGCGACAUCUGUCAAAUAUUAAAAUACACGCGUUCUUAUGGGCACAGAUUUUUUGACAACAGCACGACUUCACGACAAAAGGGUUGAAGUCUUCGCUGUUGCCAAAUUAGAAAUGUUUCUAAUUUUGCCGACGACAAUGGCCGCUGUAGAGCUGCCACUAAUAUGUGAAAUGUAAAAUUAUUCAAAGUUCUAACAAGUAUGACGUUAUUUUGCCAGCAGAAGCGUAAAAUAGCUUUGAUAUAUCAUUUAUAAUAACAAUGGAUUAUUUAAAGCAAAUAAAUCGAUAUAUUUUUACAUUUUUUUCAAAAAAAAUUUCAUUUUAAUCUAAAUAUGUAAAUUUUAUUGAAGUGAAAGAUUUUCGUACGGCAACAAUGAAAUUCCUAUUUGAUAUGUCGCUGCCGUCUUCAAAAUGUUCACGACGCUGGCUUCAAAGCGACAUUUGUGAUCAGCCGUCGCUACGUCGUGUCGUGUCGUCGUCUUUGUGUUCAGCACUUAUGUAAUCAGUUCAACGAACAACAUAAGGAAGACAUAUGAUGAAGGAGAAAAAAUUAAUUCGUAGGAAAAACAGUAAACAAAACGAAACAUGGAAAAAAUAAACAAUUACAAUAUCAACGUCUUUCAGUUCCAAUUAAGUGUUGAGCAUGUGCGCAGUGAAAAAAAGAGUGCAAGAAAAUGAUUAAACUUGAAGGAAAAACUUCAAAUUAUUGAUCAGCACAAUAAAGGUGCACGCGUUUCUGAAUUGUGUAAAAUAUUAAAAUUAAAAGCGUCAACCGUUUCGACAAUACUAAAAAAUAAGGAAAAACUUUUAAAAAAUGUUGAAAUGCUGAGCUGCAGCUACAAAAAGAAAGCAUUCAGGAAUGGCGAAUUUCCUGAAAUGAAAGAAAAACUAUUUUCAUGGUUUUUAAGGCAGCGGAAUUGCCAUAUUCCCAUAAGCGGAGUUGCGUUGCAGCAUCAAGCAAAGAUUUUGCACCACGAAUUGUAUGGGAAUAAUUUUAGUGCCAGCCAUGGGUGGCUGACUCGUUUUAAAGAAAGACAUGGAAUCCGGCUCCUUAAACAAAGUGGCGAGAGACUUUCAUCGAACGUGGUGCUUGUUGAACCUUUUAAAAAAACAUUCAUGAAUGUUUUAUCACAAAAUAAUCUAACACAAGAUGCGAUAUUUAAUGCUGACGAAACAGGACUACUUUGGAAGAAUUUACCCGAUAAAACCUAUGUACACUCUGCAGAGAAAACAGCGGCAGGGAGAAAAAUAUCCAAGGAGAGAGUGACUGUCCUUUUAUGCAGCAAUGCAAGUGGCACAAAAAGGCUAAGGCUUUUAGUGAUUGUCAAAUCUCAAAAUCCUCGAGCGUUUCGGAACAAAGAACUUACUCUAAAAAUGCAUGGAUGACAAGUUUCAUAUUUAAAAAUUGGUUCUUCCAAAAGUUUGUCCCUCAGGUAGAAUAUUUUCUUGCUGAAAGAAAUUUGCCGUUAAACGCAUUAUUAAUUUUGGACAAUGCGCCGUCUCACCCCCGGCUGAUGAAUUAAUUAAAGAAACUGUUGGUGGCAAAAUAUGGGUACUGUAUAUGCCUCCAAAUGUUACCCCACUAAUACAACCGAGGGACCAAAAUGCAAUUAGAUUAGUAAAACUACAUUAUAAGAACAGUCUUUUGUCCAGGCUUUUUGCAAAUAAGGGAGGGGAUGUUAUUGCAUUUUUUGAAGGCUUUUACGCUUUAUGAUGCUGUGACAGCAUUAUCUUUGGGAUGGAAAUCUAUAUCUGAAACAACUUUAAGUAAAUGCUGGAAUAAGCUACUUAAAGAAGAUCGUCACUUUGAUGAAGAGGAUGAUCUUCCUAUUUCGUCUUUCCUAAGGCAAGAUGAAGACACUUUGGCAAUGAUAAAUGGAGUUAAAUUACUAAAUUCGGUUUUUCCAAAUGUAAGUAACGUUAAGUUUUAUGCUUCCUUUUAUUUUAAAUAUUUCGAACAAUGUAUUCUGUGGGCAAAGCAGAACAAUAUCGAUAUCACAAAACUUAUUGUAUUGACUGAGCUUCAGGAAGAAGCCAUCAAAUGCAAUAUUCGUAUUCCAACGAAGCAAACGAAGAUUGAUAAAUUUUUUAAAUAGGUAUAAUUUUCUAUAGCUAUACUAAUGUACAAAUACUUUGAUCUCAUAAAACGUGAAUUUAUUUUUAAGCACAGUACUUCCGUUAAGGUAACUUGCAUAAGCUCUUUCAAUUGUUCCUUUAUCUCUAUAUAUAAAAAUGAAACCCUUUUUCCGGUGUCACGACAUAGCAUGAAAACGGCAGGACCGAUUUCACUGAUUCUUUUUUUGUGUGUAUUCCAGGAAGAUUGAGGAUGGUUCUUACGGAGAAAAAUUUAAAAAAAAUUGCUUGAAAAAGUCUAAAAUUCACAUUUUUCUAAACUCCCAUACAAACAAUUUGUUUUCUAUGGAUAUAACAUGUAAGGAAAGGCUAAGUUCGGGUGCAACCGAACAUUUUAUACUCUCGCAAUUUAUUGAAGAAAUUUAACCAAUAAAUUUCUCACCGUAUUUUUGAAAAACCUAUAUGUAAUUAGGUAUCACCAUACCAAAUUUCAUCAAAAUCCAUUCAGCCGUUUAGGCGUGAAAGAGUAACACACAGACAGAGUUACUUUCGCAUUUAUAAUAUUAAUAUGGAUUUUGUUUGUUUAUUUAGUGUUUCUGACGUUUUUCGUUAGUUAGUUAACCCACUUUUAGUAAUUUUCAACCUAACCUUUGUAUGGGAAGUGGACUUGGUUAUUAUCUGAUUUCUUUCAUUUUUGGACUGUAUUAAGAAGUGGCUAAAAAAAACGACUGCAGAAAGUUUGGUUUAUAUAGCUCUAUUGGUUUCGGAGAUAUGUACAAAAAACUUAUUUGGGGGCGGGGCCACGCCCACCUCCCCAAAAAAAUUACAUCCAAAUAUGACCCUUCAUAGUGCGAUCCUUCAUACUAAAUUUAAUUUCCAUAGCUUUAUUUAUGGCUUAGUUAUGGCACUUUAUGUGUUUUCGGUUUUCGCCAUUUUGUGGGCGUGGCAGUGGUCCGAUUUUGUUCAUUUUCGAAAGCAACCUUCCUAUGGUGCCAAGAAAUAAGUGUGUCAAGCUUCAUUAAGAUAUCUUAAUUUUUACUCAAGUUACAGCUUGCACAGACGGACGGACAGACAGACAUUCGGAUUUGAACUCCACUCUUCACCCCGAUCACUUUGGUAUAUAUAACCAUAUAUCUAACUCGUUUAGUUUUGGGUGUUACAAACAACCGUUAUGUGAACAAAACUAUAAUACUCUUUAGCAACUUUGUUCCGGGAGUAUAAAAAUUGGCUCCAUCGGACUACUAAGACCUAUAGCUCCUAUAUAACAGUAAUUGCCAUUAUAUGGCAAUGAUGCGCAAAAAUACUUCUCAUGGUCAUUGUGGGAGCGUCAAAACUUUCAGUAAGGCUUUGUAAAAAAAAUUUGAGAAGCGAUACACAAGCUGAAUAUAAUUUAUCGUUAUACAUAGUUUCCCAUCCAACCCCCACAUUCAACCUAUAAGAAUAAUAUCAUAUAAAACAAGUAAGGAAGGGCUAAAUUCGGGUGUAACCGAACAUUUUAUACUCGCAAUUUAUUUAUUUAAUAUUAUAUAAUACACAAUUUGACCCACAUAUUCGUCAUAUAUAUUGUAUAAAGUCCAUUGAAAGUUGGAAACCAUAAUAUUAGGUUAGAAGCAACGAGGUCCUCGUGUUCGAUAUAUGGGGCCUUAAAAACCUAUGGUCCGAUUUCGGCGAUUUUUAGAAUGGGGCUGCCACACUAUUAACAUAGUAUUUGUGCAAAGUUCUGCACCGAUAUCUUCACUAGUGCUUACUUUAUAUAUUGUAAAUAAACGAUUCAGAUUGUCUUCAAAGUUCUGGUAUAUAGGAUGUAGGCGUGGUUGUGAAGCGAUUUGGCCUAUUUUCACAACAUAUCAUUGGGAUGUAAAGAAACUAUUACAAACCAAGUUUCAUUGAAAUCGGUCGAGUAGUGCCAGAGAUAUGGGGCCUCAUGCAUAAAACGUGAGCUUGAGCUCGGACUCGCUUUUUUAAGUAAAAGGUGCUUGUCGUAUGCAUAAUAAAAUUGGAUGUGUUUGCUUUUACUCGCUGAUUCCGUUUGAUCUCAUCGUGCUCAGUAUGAACGAAGUUAGAUGAGCUAGUGCUCAUUUUCAUAUGCAUAAAAACAAGCUUUUGCUUUCUUUUGUGAGCUCUUGCUCAAAUUUUGUUGAGGCUGCCUUAUAGUUGACUCGCGUACACUAAAAAGGAAUCAUGCCUGAAUAUUUUGUGCCACAAAGAAAUAUAAAAUGUUAUCAACAGCGUAAAACAAAUUUAACAAGUGAGGAUAAAAAAUUAUAUAGGUUUGUAUUCUUAAUUAUUAAUUUUUUUUAUUAUAUAAUUAAUAAUAAAAUGAUAAAUACAUAGGUUUGAUGACACUAGCAUCUGUUGGUUGGCUUAUUAUUUUUUUGAGAAGUCAGAAGAAACACUUAGUGAUGCCCUCAGUAACAUUGAUAACAUUUGACUAUAUUUAAUAUUUUGUGCAGAUCCUGGAUUCCAAAAUGGUAUAACCUCAAAAUUGCAUAGUAAUGUUCAAAUCCGGAUAUCUGUCUGUCUGUCCGUCCGCGCAAACUGUAACUUGAGUAAAAAUAGUCACAUAUCUUCCUGAAAUUAGUAGACGUGUUUUUUGGCACUAUAUGAAGAUUGAUUUCGUCCACAAAAUGGCGAUUGAUUUCGUCCCGAAAAGGCAUAAAGUGCCAUAACUAAGCCAUAAAAUAAGCUAAAAUUAGGUAGAAAGGAUCGCGCUGUAAAGGGGCAUAUUUGGAUGUAAUUUUUGUACAUAUCUCGUAAACUACAUACAAAAGCUAUAUCAACCAAACUCUCUAAAACCAUUUCUUUUAAUCGGAUUAUAACCACGCCCACCUCCCAUGCAAAGGUUAUGUUGAAAACUACUAAAAAUGCUUUAAUAGGAAAGGAAAAGUAAGGAAAAACCCCAGAAACCUGAAAUUUCGUUAUAAAGAUGGUACAUAAAAGCUGCACUCAAAUUGGAAUACAAAAGUUCAAAUUGGCUCCUCCCACAAACCCAUACGACAGAAACUAAUCCACCAAUUUCAAUGAAAUUCGGUUCAUAAUAUAUUCCAGCCAUCCCAAUAAUAUGUUGUGAAAAUAGGCCAAAUCGGUUCAUAACAACGCCUACUUCCUAUAACCAGAACUGUGAAGUCAAUCUGAAUCGUCGGGUCAUAACUUCAGCUAGCUUCCAUGUACCUAAUAUUAAGGUUUCCAACUUUCAAUGUACUUUAUACCAUAUAUAUGACGAAUAUGUGAGUCAAAUUGUAUGUUAUAGUAAUAAAAUUAAAUGAUUAAUCGGAAUUUAGAGAGUAUAAAAUGUUCGGUUACACCCGAACUUAAUGCAUUCCCCGUUAAUUGAAUGCCCAAUUUUUGCUCAAUUUCUUUUACACAUGUUUCUAGUGUAUGUUUAUUUUAUUUUUAAUGCUUGGUAAUUGACCUUUUUCUAGCAAAUAUUUAUUUUGUUUUAGUUUUUCUACUAAAAAUUUAGAAAUGUCGUAAGUUUCUAUUUUAUUAUUAUUAUUUGAUCCUACUUCUACUUCACUUUCACUUGACGACACGUUUGCACUUCUAUAACAUUAGAUGUUUGAUCUCCCUUUGCUCAAGUAAUUGCAAUUGGUUUGAACUCAUUUUUAUGCAUACGAAAUUGAGCAAAAGCUGUUGCUGUUCGAUCGAACUCGACUUACGAGCAAUUGCUCACAUGCCUCAACUCAGCGCUUUUACUCGUUUUUAUGCAUGAGACCCAUUGUUUUUGACCCAUAAGUGGGCGACGCCACGCCCAUUUUCCAUUUUGUAAAAAAAUCUGAGUGCAGCUUUCAUCUGCCAUUUCUUAUGUGAAAUUUAGUGUUUCUGACGUUUUUCGUUAGUAAGUUAACCCACUUUUAGUAAUUUUCAACCUAACUUUUGUGUGGGAGGUGGGCGUGAUUAUUAUCCGAUUUCUUUCAUUUUUGGACUGUAUUAGGAAGUGGCUAAAAAAAACGACUGCAGAAAGUUUGGUUUAUAUAGCUUUAUUAGUUUGCGAGUUAAAUACAAAUAACCGAUUUGUGGGCGGGGCCACGCCCACUUCCCCAAAAAAAUUACAUACAAAUAUGCCCCCUCUUAGUGCGAUCCCUUAUUUCAAAUUUUACUUUUAUAUCUUCAUUUAUGGCUUAGUUAUGACACUUUAUGUGUUUUUGGUUUUCGCCAUUUUGUAGGCGUGGCAAUGGUCCGAUUCUGUCCAUUUUCGAACUUGAUCUUCUUAUGGUGCCAAGGAAUAUGUGUGCGAAGUUUCGUAAAGAUAUCUUAAUUUUUACUCAAGUUACAGCUUGCGCAGACGGACAGACAGACAGACGGACGGACGGACAGACAUCCGGAUUUCAAAUCUACUCGUCAUCCUGAUCACUUUGGUAUAUAUGACUCUAUAUCUAACUCUUUUAGUUUUAGGUGUUACAAACAACCGUUAUGUGAACUAAACUAUAAUACUCUCGUAGCAACUUUUGUUGCAAUAGUAUAAAAACGAAUUGCUGUUCGUUAGUCUCGCAAAAAGUCGAGAACUGCCACACCAAUCUGGCUAAUUUUAGUCUUGAAAUAUUCUAGCAUAGCCAAGAAAAUAUAGAAAAAUUGCGCGGAAGAUUGCAAUAACAGAACUUUAUAUGAGUUGACAACAAAAUUAAAAAAAAAUAGAAAACAAAAAAUAAUAAUCUUUAGAAGGUAGUAAUUUUUGCUUAGUUAAAAUAUUUUUGUCAUUGUUCAGUUGUAUAAGGUUGUGUCGAUAGCCCAAAACAAUUUGUAACAAGUAAGGAAAGGCUAAGUUUGGGUGCAACCGACUAUACUCUCGGAAUUUAUUGAUGUACCCAUAUAUUCAUAAAGAAGAAUAGAACAUGAAAAUCAUCAUAUAUUGUAUAUGAGGACCAUAGUAAUUCCUGAACCGAUUUUACUCAUUUUCACCAUCAAAGCAUAACGGGAAUAGGGGCAGCUUGGCAACCUGUUAGUAGGCAUACAAACUGUACAUUCGGCAUUGAAAUUACUCCUAAAAUGCAAAUCAACGAAACACCAGUUUGCAAAAUCGCCAAAAAUAGCGCUAUAGCGAAAAUUUUCCAGAUAUGCAAGUUGAUAAUUUGGGAAGUACGGCGCAUAAAAAAUCGCUUAUUUAUACAUACAAGUGUUUUUGCAACAAGAUCAAACUGCGAUUGUAGAAGGAGUUGCUAGAUAUUGGAAUUGGUAAGCUCACAGUUGACACCUCGAUGGAUUAAUAACAUUUUAAACACAUUUCUGUCUCUUCUGUCUCUUUCCGGACAAAAAACAACAAUAUAAUACCCACAAUUGGCUGAGUGAACGACCAAUAUUGGUCGCAAAAAACAAAGAUGUCGUCGAAGUCAAUGCGACAAUUUAGAAUUUCGUUACAGGAGAGCUGACACAGAUACAAAUUAGGAUGACGUAGCCAACUAUCCCAAAGGAUUUUUAUAAUCCUUGAAAUUGCCUGGAUUAUCACCACUUAAUUUUACAUUUAAAAGUAGCAUAAGUUGUCAUCAUGCUGUCUAACAUAAAUCAACCUCGACUUUGUAAUGAACUUUGUGUCGUCAUCGAAGCCAAGAUUGAUUGUAUAUCUUUGCCACAAAACGUGUGGCCGGGUCUGCUAGUUUUUGAUAAAUAAUUCAAUAAAACAAUGUAUUAAACUGCAAUUUUCAGAUAUUUUACUCACAAAACAUUACUCAAAAAGUGAGUAUUCGAAUUAAUGAAAAAUUCGAUAUAACGAACAGGCCUGACAAUUAAUGUGUUCGUUAUUUCGGAAAACCGCUGUAUAUAAAAGCAUUGUAUUUUGUGUUCAUCAUGCAUGCGUACAAUCCCACAAUACAUCUUGCUCGCUGUGAAGUCAGCAAGCAGAGAUAAAGAGAUGUACAACUCUCAUCUCACUGGAAUUGAGAGCGCAAUAUCAAACGUCAAAACCACCUAAACUUUGACAGUUUGUCGAGAUGAGGAGGUUUUGACGUUGCGCAAUUGGAAAAGAGGGACGGCCAUAUUGAAAUGUUGCCAAAAAAUAAUGCGACGGAGACAUUUAUAACCGCCGUGCAAGAUCACUUAUUAGAACUUAAGACAAUAAAUAUAAAAGGAAUCGCGAAAUUUUAAGGUAUUUGAAAAAAUGAUUUGUGAUCUGCAGCAGCGAGAUUUUAGUUUUCCAUGGAAAAAAAUAUUAUUUGCCAGUUGAUACGUAUUGAUUUACUUUAUUUACCACUGAAAGUUUGAAAACCGGUUGGUUUAAUAUACCAUAAUAUCACUAACCGAGAUUUAAAUAGUUAUUAUUUAUAUUAAUCGUUAAGUGUAAAAUAAUUAUUAGCCGUAAUAAAUGUUGGGUAUUUUAAUUUAAAUGCCCAAAAAUUUGUAUUUUGUCUGAUCUGGUAAUAAUGCAAAAUGUUAUAAAAAACGCAAAUUUUGAGGCGCUCUCACACUGGAAUAAGUUGGACAUCCCUUUAUCCCUGUCAGCAAGCAACUGACCUGAAAUCGUCUAUGGCAGUGAUCGGCAGCCCAUUGCCCGCGGAGCGCUCUCUGAGCGCACACUGAAGUGCUGAACACAAAUACGACGACACGACACGACGUAGCGAUGGCUGAUCACAAAUGUCGCUUUGAAGCCAGAAUCUUGAACAUUUUGAAGACGGCAGCGACAUAUCAAACAGCAAUUUCAUUGUUGCCGUACUAAAACCUUUCAUUUCAAUAAAAUUUACAUAUUUAGUUUAAAGUGAAAUUAUCAUACUUGUUAGAACUUUGAAUAAUUUUACAUUUCACAUAUUAGUGGCAGCUCUACAGCGGCCAUUGUCGUCGGCAAAAUUAGAAACAUUUCUAAUUUGGCGACAGCGAAGACUUCAACCCUUUUGUCGUGAAGUCGUGCUGUUGUCAAAAAAUCUGUGCCCAUAAGAACGCGUGUAUUUUAAUAUUUGACAGAUGUCGCUCGUCGCUUGUCGUCUUCUAUGUGUUCAGCACAUGAGUCUACGAGUGAAACACACGUACUUGCAAUCAUUUUUACACCAUAGACGCGAUGUCAGGUCAGUUGCUUUGACAGUUGAUUGGAUGGAGGAGGUUUUGACGUUUAGCGAUUGGAAAACUAGAACGGCCAGAUUGAAAUGUUGCCAAAAAAAAUUAUACGGAGGAGACAUUUUUAACCGCUGUGCAAGCUCACUAAUAAGAACAUAAAAUAAUAAAUAUAAAUGAAAACGCGAAAUUUAAAAGUGGUUAAAAUUUUUUUUGUGAUUUGCAACAUCGACAAUGUCAUGAAAAAGAUGUGUUAAUUGUCAUUUGAGAAAUAUUAAUUAACCUUAUUUCUUACUGAAAGUUCGAAAAUCGGCUAUUUUAACUUUCCAUUAUAUCGCUAAAUAAAAUAUAAAACGUACAUUUUAUAUUAAACAUUCAGUAAAAAUAAUUUUUAAUAAAAUUUGGAUAUUUUAAUUAAAAUGCCCAAAAAUUAGUAUUUUAGCUGAUCUGGUAACAAUGCGAAAUGUUAUAAAAAACGCAAAUUUUGAGGCGCUCUCACACUGGAAUAAGUUGGACAUCCCCUUAUCCCUGUUAACAGCGAGCAGGACGUAUGGUGGAUUGUACGCACGCAUGUAUGAACACAAAAGACAAUGCUUUUACAUAUAUUAUUAUAUUUCUAUUUAGAUUAUUAAUUUUUUUUUUAUUAUUUUUGCAAGUCAGUUCAUAAAAAGACAACGAUUAAUUCUCCAACUUUAUUCGCCAUUUAAAAUGUUUGUAAUAUAAUUAAUAAUUGUGUGUUUAACUCGAAGUAGUACUAUCGAUUUUUGUUUUGCAAAAAAUGUAAUUUACAUAAAGUUUACUGCUUUAUAAUGUUUUCAUACACAUUACGCAGUAAAAACAAUUGAUUGUAUGUGUUAAGCUAACGUACACUAUAAAAAUUAUUGUUAGGUAACCAGUAUUGGUCCUAAUUUCCCCAGUUCUAAAAAGGUACGGGACCAGUAGAACAGAACUCUUGGUCAUUUGAGUAGCUCUCAACACGCAUACACUCUCACAAAAUAAAUUGUUUGAUUGUAUAAGUUUGCCGACCACUGGUCUAUGGUGUAAAAAUGAUUCCAAGUACGUGUGUUUCACACGUGUGCGCUCAGAGAGUGCUCCGCUGGCAAUGGGCUGCAGAUCACUGAUCUAAAGCAGUGGUCGGCUCGAGAGGAGUUGUGAUUGUGUAAUGUGCUGAACACAUAGAAGACGACAAGCGACGAGCGACAUCUCUCAAAUAUUAAAAUACACGCGUUCUUAUGGGCACAGAUUUUUUGACAACAGCACGACUACGCGACAACAGGCUUGUAGUUGCCGCUAAAUUAAAAAAGUUUCUAAUUUUGGCGACGACAAUGGGCAGUUGUAGAGUUGCCACUAAUAUGUGAAAUGUAAAAAUAUUAAAAGUUAUAACAAAUAUGACGUUAUUUUGCCAGCAGAAACGUAAAAUAGCUUUAUUUAUAAUAACAAUCGAUUAUUUAAAACAAAUAAAUCGACCAUUUUUACAUUUUUUGCACAAAUAAUUUUACUUUAAACUAAAUAUGUAAAUUGUAUUGAAAUGAAAGGUUUUAGUACGGUAACAAUGAAAUUGCUGUUUGAUAUGUCGCUGCCGUCUUCAAAAUGUUCAAGACGCUGGCUUCAAAGCGACAUUUGUGAUCAGCCGUCGCUACGUCGUGCCGUGUCGCCGUCUUUGUGUUCAGCACUUCAGUGAGCACGAAAUUAUGAACAGCCAGUGAGAACUCUGUAGCCUAACAUUUUAAGAAUGUUUUUCAUUUCUUCAUAAAACGUGCAUUUUUGUGCUCAUUUUUUCAUUUUAAAUAUUUUAUUAUUAAAACAAAUAUAUUAUGUCAUAAAAGUCUUAACAUUACUGUCUUUAAACAGCUUAAAACCUUAAAUAUAAUACAUAACAUCAAAACAUUAAGACAUUUCGCACAGGGCACUUAAACAAAGUGCCACAGCCAUGCGCGAUGUUUAUUCGUUGCUGGUUCGGCAAGGACUGAACCAAGAAUGAUAGAAGACAAGAUUACGACAGGCGUUUACAGUUAGCUUUUUUGGGUUUUGAGUUCCUGUUGAGUGACAACUUUCACGACCCCGAACACGCGAGCAAAACAAAAUUGCACGGUGGUACAAAACAAUAAAACCAAAACAAAGAGCUGACGUCAAGGCUAGUACUUAAUUAUUAUUUAAAAUUCUAAGUGAAAAAUGUAUUAACUUGAAAAAGAAGUCCGCAAUGGCGGAAUUAAACAACAAUAGUACAAAAAAGUCGUAUAUAAAGAUUUUUUUUCACUUUUCCAACCAACAAAAAAGUUGGCAAAAUGGCGAACUUUUUGUAACAAAACAUAUAAUUUUAAUUAUAAAUAUGCAUUAUUAUAUUGGAUCAUUUUAUAAAUGAAGAUUUUAAGAAUUACGUUCAUUGUGAUAUUUAGCGUACGUGUGAUGUGCUGAACACAUAGAAGACGACAAGCGACGAGCGACAUCUGUCAAAUAUUAAAAUACACGCGUUCUUAUGGGCACAGAUUUUUUGACAACAGCUCGACUACGAGACACAGGCUUGUAGUUGUCGUUGUCGCCAAAUUAGAAAUGUUUCUAAUUUUGCCGACGACAAUGGCCGCUGUAGAGCUGUCACUAACAUGUAAAAUGUAAAAUUAUUCAAAGUUCUCACAAGUAUGACGUUAUUUUGCCAUCAGAAACGUAAAAUAGCUUAUAUAUAUUAUUUAUAAUAACAAUCAAUUAUUUAAAACAAAUAAAUCGCCAAUUUUUAAAUUUUUUGCGUAAAUUAUUUCACUUUAAACUAAAUAUGUAAAUUUUAUUGAAGUGAAAGACGUUAGUACGGCAACAAUGAAAUUGCUGUUUGAUAUGUCGCUGUCGUCUUCAAAAUGUUCAAGACGCUGGCUUCGAAGCGACAUUUGCGACAGUGCCGACCACUGACCUAAAGUAAAGCCACAAAACCCUUUAAAAUUCGUGUCAAGCGGUGGCAUCCUAAAGAAUGACUACUCCUCGUAGACAAUGUGACGGCACUCCAUCUCGUAUCGUAAAGGACCAAAACUGGUCUAUGUGAGGCUUAUUGGCCUCCCAGUGUAACCUAAUAUACCCAGUGUACAUAGAAUUCUUUGAAUUAAGCAACGGUAGGAAAUUUUAAAUUGCCUAACUCGUUUAUUAAAAUUUCAUCACCCCUAAUCUUUAAAAAUUACAUUAAAUAUUUAAUAAAUAUAUUAUUAGGCGUGUUUUAUUUGACCAGCAAAUUAAGCUAUUAGCUUAUUUUGUAUGAAAGGCUUAGCCAACAUAAUUAUGUUGGCUUGUCAUAAGCUAUCAUAGCUUGUAUAUUGAACUAGAGGCAUUGCCAGUUCAUCGCUUUUUUCAUUCACAACAGUUUGGUAUUUUCCAAAAACAAGUAGUUGGCAAUAGCGAGAAACCCCAUUUUGACAGAUAAAAAUUUAAACAAACCAAAAUUUUAAAUUCUAUCGGUGUGCAAAAUGGCAAAUAAAAAGUUUAUCCAUAUUUAUUUUGACCAUCCCGGAUCUAAUAAUGAUUGUAGAUUCCUUAAAAGAUCCGAAUUUUAUAAAAAAGCGGUAAACAAAAAGAAAUUUAAUUUAUAAAUUCAACCUUUUUUUUUUUCAAUAAAUGACGUUUAACCCUGGAAUGGUUACCGCCUGUGAGGCGCAGAAUUUUUUUUUUUUUUUUGCAAUAUUUCCUGAUCGUUCACUCGUAUUAAGACGUGCGCUCGUGCCAACUCAGUUGAGUGUUGUACGAGCUUGGGCACAGACGUAUUUUGUUUUGCUGCGUUGCGUUGGUUAUAUAUAUAGAUACGUGUGUCGCCUCUGAGGCGAAGUUUACCAAUAAAGUUUUUAGAGAUGGCUCCUCCUGAUGUGCAGUUACUCAAAUGGCUGGAGGAGAUAUCGCUUGAUGGAAGUGAACUUGAUGACGAUUUGGGUGUAGAUAUCGAUUCAGAUGAUAGUGUGGCUGAACCCACUUACGUCGAUGAUUUCGACGACGACAUGCAGUAUAUUGAUGUAUCUAAUGAAAAUGAUGCGUAUAUUUCUGCGCAAAAUGCAAGAAAACUUAUUGCUUAGAGCACAGAUCACCAAAUUGUUGGCAAUGUGAUGUUAAAAAGUAGGUGGAAGAACCACAAACUUUAUUUUGUCUUGCAGAAUUUAUUUUAAGUUUUAAUAUUUAUAAUAUUUUUUAAUAUGUUAAUUAGAUAUAAGGUCUACAAGACACUGAAGUUUAUUUUUUGAUUUCAAACUGUUUUUUUAAUUUUUUAUAUUUUUUUUUUUGUAAAAGAUCUAUUCAUACUACUGAUAAAAUAUGUGAUCUAUAAAUGUUGUCAAUAAUAUAUUUAAGAUAUUUAAAAAAUUAAUUGUUUUUUGUUUAUUUUUAUAACCAAGCAUGUAAUAUAUACGUUUUUGUUUUUGUUUUAAUAAAUUUUUGUUUUGUUAAGGGUAAAAUGUGGGUUUUUUAUAAGAGUCGCCUCACAGGCGAAGAUUACCAUUAAAGAGCAAAAGCAUACAUAUGUUUACCAUUCUAGGGUUAAGCUGAGAGUUCAGGCCCGCACUGCCAACACAAGUCAUUUGUAAGCGAAGAUAUGAAAUAAGUUAAAUGCGUUUUAUUUGUCCAUGAUUUAGCUACUUGCUUGUGGUGGUAAAAUAAAACACGCUUCCCAGUAAAAAAUCCGAUCAUCAAAAGAUUAAUCUUAGAUCGCUCCUUUUCGAGCCAUGGAUUACUCCACAUUGCUCAGAGACUCAUGCAUUUAUUACACCUUUUUAACAUUGCAUGUCCUUACGAGGGAUCACUCCUUUUAAACUCCAAAUGGAGUGCAAACCGAGCAUUCUUUUGAGCUCUUUUUGACCUCCGAAACGAGAGCAGAGGGAGUAAUCUUCUUUAUCUCCAGAAAGAGUACGAAAAAGAGCAGAAAUCCGACACACAAAAAUAUAAACAGUGUUGUAAAUAGUUGAAAAUUUUUAUUAAUUUCUUCAUUUUUAAGAUAUAAGAAAUAGUAAUUCACUUAACAGAAAUAGUUAUGAUAUUUCAAAAUAAUGUUAAGAGUGGGUAAAUAAUAGACGUAAUUUUCAUAUUUACGAAGUGUUGAAGUCGGAGCAGAUUUUAGUGAAUUUCACGGUUUUGAUUUUAAAGUCAACAAAUGAUGUAAAAUUUUCUUUAACGGAUUUUUUUAAUCAGCUCUUCUGGUAAGUAAAGCUCUUACGUCUGAAGGCUUUGAUGGACCAAUAUACUCAGUUUUAGCAGUUUAUUAUGAAUUCAACUUUUUUAUGUACAAUUAUUAUAAAUAGGAGUUUCACUCUGAUUAUUCAAAUGCAUUAAUAUCACAAUUUCUUUUGGUUUCGACGCCUUUUCAUAAGAAGCUUCUCGAUAACUGGUAGACUUUUUUUAAAUUUAUUUUUUCACUAAUUGUCUUAAGAAUAAAUAUAUUCACAUAUUUUUUAUAAAUAAUUAACACAUUUAUACUAUAAUUUAUCACUUUUUGCCCGUAUAACAACUUUAUACAAAUAUUCGCGAAAAUUUAUUCACGUUGACGCGUUGUUUGCAAAAUUCAAACUAAUUUAAAUUGACAAUAUACGCUUUUCUAGAACAUAAAAGAAUUUCACAACAAUUAACAGUUAUGAUUAGGCGUUACGCUUUAUCUUUUAUCAUAAACCUCGUUUUUUCAUCCAAAAUGUAUCAAAAAGCGAGGAAACAAACGAUUUAUGUAAAAACUAACGAAAAUGGCUUUAUUGCUCACUUAAUGCUCGAAAUGGAUGAACCUCCUUUAUUACUCGAUUUUGGUAUUAAUCCAAAGAUUUUUUACUGGGUUAUUAAUAAAUUGAUAAAUAUUAUAUUUCACAAAAUACUUAUAUUGUACCGAAGAAAACGAGCUUAAAUAAUUAAAACAUACAAGAUUGUAAGUAACGUAAUGUACAUGCAUUAUAUAUGCAUUAAUAUGCAACAAGCAUACAUUAAGCUGAAACUACAAAGCUCGCGUAUGCGAAUGCUAAAAAAUGCGAUUGACUGCAUAUACAGUAUACUCUCGAAAAGUAAAUUCUCAAAAAGUAAAUAAUCGCGGAAAAGUUAAUCACCUUUAAGAUUACACAUGCACCCCGAAAAAGUAAAUUUUUUAAUUUACUUUUCAGAGAGUGUGAUAAAAAAUUCGAAACGAAGCAAGCAGCGUUUUUUACGAUGUUGCAAAAACACUUACUCUCUUGUUUAUCGCGUUUUUUAGUAAAUAAACUCUCCUACUUGAUCCACUGGUUUAAAAAUGAAAACGAUGCAAAUCAGGUGUCAGGCUUUUUGAAUUGUCGUACAAAAAUGGUCAGAAAAUAUAUUGCAAAAGAAAAAAACAAAAAAUAUUCAAGAUUUUUUCUCUUUAUAGUAAAUA
Zeugodacus cucurbitae (melon fly) is the source of this 16038-nucleotide long non-coding RNA. RefSeq lists it as uncharacterized. The transcript has 3 exons. Lineage: Eukaryota; Metazoa; Arthropoda; Insecta; Diptera; Tephritidae. The record is from RefSeq and is a predicted model, not a curated record.